AUGAUCAACCUUCAUAUCUCUCACAAUCCUGAUCGUGCCUCCUCUUCUGCUUCUCUUUCGCCAUCUCUCCACAACGAAACGACUCACCGUCAAAGUUUGGCCCGGCAAUUUUGCGAAGAUUCCUCCUCCGAAGAUGAGGAACUCAUGAUGGCUGCAAUUGUAGCAGAGGAAGAAGAAGCCCGGCUGGAUGCUCCACGACAUGGAGGUUCACAACCGGGACGUCAAUCUCUUCAACGCGAUUUUGCGGAACGCUUUCAGAACCUCCACAAGGACUAUUUUGCAGAGAACCCCACCUUCAAGGCAAGGAUGUUUUGCAAUAGGUAUGAAACUGGUGCAUAUGUUUCUUUUUCACCAUAG
RNAcentral lists this ribosomal RNA (357 nucleotides) under Triticum aestivum (bread wheat). RNAcentral's name for it is "partial small subunit ribosomal RNA". Lineage: Eukaryota; Viridiplantae; Streptophyta; Magnoliopsida; Poales; Poaceae. The record is from RNAcentral.